AUUGAACGCUGGCGGAAUGCCUUACACAUGCAAGUCGAACGGCAGCACGGGAGCAAUCCUGGUGGCGAGUGGCGAACGGGUGAGUAAUACAUCGGAACGUGCCCAGGCGUGGGGGGUAACGUAGCGAAAGUUACGCUAAUACCGCAUACGCUCUACGGAUGAAAGCGGGGGAACGUAAGGCCUCGCGCGAUUGGAGCGCCCGAUGUCAGAUUAGGUAGUUGGUGAGGUAAAGGCUUACCAAGCCGACGAUCUGUAGCUGGUCUGAGAGGACGACCAGCCACACUGGGACUGAGACACGGCCCAGACUCCUACGGGAGGCAGCAGUGGGGAAUUUUGGACAAUGGACGCAAGUCUGAUCCAGCCAUUCCGCGUGCAGGACGAAGGCCUUCGGGUUGUAAACUGCUUUUGUACAGAACGAAAAGGUUUCUAUUAAUACUAGGAGCUCAUGACGGUACUGUAAGAAUAAGCACCGGCUAACUACGUGCCAGCCGCCGCGGUAA
Molecule: ribosomal RNA, 500 nt
Filed under: uncultured bacterium
Lineage: Bacteria
Description: partial 16S ribosomal RNA
Rfam family: Bacterial small subunit ribosomal RNA
Source: RNAcentral